CGGGAUACUUCGAUAACCCGAACCCAAACUUUAGACGCCGAACUUAAAACACAAGUUCGCUCAACACUACUAGUGAUGUAUGCACUAUGUGGCCAUCUUUGGUACUCCAUAUAUUGGCAAAAUAAAGGUCUCCUGACCCCUGGGAGUGCCCCAUACAAGCACAGUCUUUUCCUUUCUGGAGUUCAUAGAUGGAGAAGUGAAAUCCCAUUCUCCUGACAGGUAGGAGCCCGGGGAGAAGAACCUGCACAUAUCAGAUAUUUAUGACAUAUACAGUACAUAAAUGUCUCAGAUGACUGAAACCUCUUCAAGUUCUAUUGCGGUUCUUGGGAUGGGUUAAAUCUGACAAUGAGACC
This is a long non-coding RNA of Bufo bufo (common toad), 353 nucleotides long. RefSeq lists it as uncharacterized. The record is from RefSeq and is a predicted model, not a curated record. Lineage: Eukaryota; Metazoa; Chordata; Amphibia; Anura; Bufonidae. The transcript has 2 exons.